Molecule: ribosomal RNA, 301 nt
Filed under: uncultured bacterium
Lineage: Bacteria
Description: partial 16S ribosomal RNA
Rfam family: Bacterial small subunit ribosomal RNA
Source: RNAcentral
CAGUAGCCGCGGUAAUACGUAGGGUGCAAGCGUUAAUCGGAAUUACUGGGCGUAAAGCGUGCGCAGGCGGUUAUAUAAGACAGAUGUGAAAUCCCCGGGCUCAACCUGGGAACUGCAUUUGUGACUGUAUAGCUAGAGUACGGCAGAGGGGGAUGGAAUUCCGCGUGGAGCGGUGAAAUGCGUUGAUAUCGGAAAGAACACCAACGGCGAAAGCACUCUGCUGGGCCGACACUGACACUGAGAGACGAAAGCUAGGGGAGCAAAUGGGAUUAGAUACCCCAGUAGUCCCUGUCUCUUAUAA